CGAUGCAUAGCCGACCUGAGAGGGUGAUCGGCCACAUUGGGACUGAGACACGGCCCAAACUCCUACGGGAGGCAGCAGUAGGGAAUCUUCCACAAUGGACGAAAGUCUGAUGGAGCAACGCCGCGUGAGUGAUGAAGGUUUUCGGAUCGUAAAACUCUGUUGUAAGGGAAGAACAAGUACGUUAGGAAAUGAACGUACCUUGACGGUACCUUAUUAGAAAGCCACGGCUAACUACGUGCCAGCAGCCGCGGUAAUACGUAGGUGGCAAGCGUUGUCCGGAUUUAUUGGGCGUAAAGCGCGCGCAGGUGGUUUCUUAAGUCUGAUGUGAAAGCCCACGGCUCAACCGUGGAGGGUCAUUGGAAACUGGGGAACUUGAGUGCAGAAGAGGAUAGUGGAAUUCCAAGUGUAGCGGUGAAAUGCGUAGAGAUUUGGAGGAACACCAGUGGCGAAGGCGACUGUCUGGUCUGUAACUGACACUGAGGCGCGAAAGCGUGGGGAGCAAACAGGAUUAGAUACCCUGGUAGUCCACGCCGUAAACGAUGAGUGCUAAGUGUUAGGGGGUUUCCGCCCCUUAGUGCUGCAGCUAACGCAUUAAGCACUCCGCCUGGGGAGUACGACCGCAAGGUUGAAACUCAAAGGAAUUGACGGGGGCCCGCACAAGCGGUGGAGCAUGUGGUUUAAUUCGAAGCAACGCGAAGAACCUUACCAGGUCUUGACAUCCCAGUGACCGCUCUAGAGAUAGAGUUUUCCCUUCGGGGACAUUGGUGACAGGUGGUGCAUGGUUGUCGUCAGCUCGUGUCGUGAGAUGUUGGGUUAAGUCCCGCAACGAGCGCAACCCUUAAUCUUAGUUGCCAUCAUUUAGUUGGGCACUCUAAGGUGACUGCCGGUGACAAACCGGAGGAAGGUGGGGAUGACGUCAAAUCAUCAUGCCCCUUAUGACCUGGGCUACACACGUGCUACAAUGGACGGUACAAAGAGUCGCUAACUCGCGAGAGUACGCUAAUCUCAUAAAACCGUUCUCAGUUCGGAUUGUAGGCUGCAACUCGCCUACAUGA
Molecule: ribosomal RNA, 1055 nt
Filed under: Rummeliibacillus stabekisii
Lineage: Bacteria; Bacillati; Bacillota; Bacilli; Caryophanales; Caryophanaceae
Description: bacterial SSU rRNA
Rfam family: Bacterial small subunit ribosomal RNA
Source: RNAcentral